RNAcentral lists this ribosomal RNA (600 nucleotides) under uncultured bacterium. RNAcentral describes it as "bacterial SSU rRNA". It matches the Rfam family "Bacterial small subunit ribosomal RNA", at positions 116 to 709 of the family's 1533-position model. The record is from RNAcentral.
UGUNGGAAACUGCCUGAUGGAGGGGGAUAACUACUGGAAACGGUAGCUAAUACCGCAUAACGUCGCAAGACCAAAGAGGGGGACCUUCGGGCCUCUUGCCAUCAGAUGUGCCCAGAUGGGAUUAGCUAGUAGGUGGGGUAACGGCUCACCUAGGCGACGAUCCCUAGCUGGUCUGAGAGGAUGACCAGCCACACUGGAACUGAGACACGGUCCAGACUCCUACGGGAGGCAGCAGUGGGGAAUAUUGCACAAUGGGCGCAAGCCUGAUGCAGCCAUGCCGCGUGUAUGAAGAAGGCCUUCGGGUUGUAAAGUCACUUUCAGCGGGGAGGAAGGUGUGUGGUAAUAACCACAGCAAUUGACGUUACCCGCAAAGAAGCACCGGCUAACUCCGUGCCAUCAGCCGCGGUAAUACGGAGGGUGCAAGCGUUCAAUCGGAACUUACUCGGGCGUAAAGCGCACGCAGGNGGNCUUGUCAAGUCGGNAUGUGAAAUCCCCGGGGCUACCAACCUGGCGACACUGGCCACUUNCCGGAACAAACNUUUGGGACACAGGAGGCNUACAAAAGGUUCCUCUGGAUCAGAAAGCGNGGGACGNGACUAA